AAAGGAAUGACGGGGGGCCUGCACAAGCGUGGGAGCAUGUGUUUAUUUCGAAGCAACGCGCAGAACCUUACCAACGUUGNACAUCCUCAUCGCGAUUUCCAGAGAUGGAUUUCUUCAGUUCGGCUGGAUGAGUGACAGGUGCUGCAUGGCUGUCGUCAGCUCGUGUCGUGAGAUGUUGGGUUAAGUCCCGCAACGAGCGCAACCCUCGCCUUUAGUUGCCAUCAUUUAGUUGGGUACUCUAAAGGAACCGCCGGUGAUAAGCCGGAGGAAGGUGGGGAUGACGUCAAGUCCUCAUGGCCCUUACGCGUUGGGCUACACACGUGCUACAAUGGCGACUACAGUGGGCAGCGACCAUGCGAGUGGAAGCUAAUCUCCAAAAGUCGUCUCAGUUCGGAUUGUUCUCUGCAACUCGAGAGCAUGAAGGCGGAAUCGCUAGUAAUCGCGGAUCAGCAUGCCGCGGUGAAUACGUUCCCAGGCCUUGUACACACCGCCCGUCACACCAUGGGAGUUGGUUUCACCCGAAGGCAGUGCGCUAACCGCAAGGAGGCAGCUGACCACGGUGGGAUCAGCGACUGGGGUGAAGUCGUAACAAGGUAGCCGUAGGGGAACCUGCGGCUGGAUCACCUCCUUAAGCUUGGAUCCCGGG
This 646-nucleotide ribosomal RNA is filed under the name uncultured Sphingobium sp. RNAcentral's name for it is "bacterial SSU rRNA". It matches the Rfam family "Bacterial small subunit ribosomal RNA", at positions 903 to 1533 of the family's 1533-position model. The record is from RNAcentral. Lineage: Bacteria; Pseudomonadati; Pseudomonadota; Alphaproteobacteria; Sphingomonadales; Sphingobiaceae.